This 628-nucleotide ribosomal RNA is filed under the name Anaerolineae bacterium. RNAcentral's name for it is "bacterial LSU rRNA". It matches the Rfam family "Bacterial large subunit ribosomal RNA", at positions 1 to 581 of the family's 2925-position model. The record is from RNAcentral. Lineage: Bacteria; Bacillati; Chloroflexota; Anaerolineae.
CGGUCAAGCUACGAAGGGCGCAUGGUGGAUGCCUUGGCACCAGCCGGCGAGGAAGGACGUGGCUAGCUGCGAAAAGCCUCGGGGAGCCGCUAGCAGGCCGUGAUCCGGGGAUGUCCGAAUGGGGAAACCCGGUCGGGGUAAUACCCGGUCAUCCGUACGUGAAUCCAUAGCGUGCGGAGGCGAACGCGGGGAAGUGAAACAUCUCAGUACCCGCAGGAAGAGAAAUCAACCGAGAUUCCCUCAGUAGCGGCGAGCGAACGGGGAAGAGCCCAAACCGUCCUUGCGUGAUAGCCCGCAAGCGUUGCAGGGGCGGGGUUGUGGGGGAGCACCGGAAGGGGUUGCGGACCCUUCGGGAAGUGAGAAAUGUUCCGUGUAGCCGAAGCGUCUGGGACGGCGCGCCACAGAGGGUGACAGCCCCGUAGGCGAAACACGAGGACACUUCCUGGGUGCUCUGCCCGAGUACCACGGGGCACGUGGAACCCCGUGGGAAGCCGGGAGGACCAUCUUCCAAGGCUAAAUACGAGCUGGUGACCGAUAGUGAACGAGUACCGUGAGGGAAAGGUGAAAAGGACCCCGUAGAGGGGAGUGAAAAGGACCUGAAACCAUGCGCCUACAGCCUGUGGGAGCC